Non-coding RNA from Glycine max (soybean), 113 nucleotides. The record is from Rfam. Lineage: Eukaryota; Viridiplantae; Streptophyta; Magnoliopsida; Fabales; Fabaceae.
UUUUUAUUGGAUAAUGACUGUCACGUAUGUUUUGAUUGGAUGUCAACUACAUGAAAGAUGAAAUUCAUUGUUGUUUUCAUUAAAUCAGAACAUGAUACGUGACAACAUCACUU